UACAGAGGUCUCAAGCGUUGUUCGGAUUCAUUGGGCGUAAAGGGUGCGUAGGUGGCGUGGUAAGUCGGGUGUGAAAUUUCGGAGCUUAACUCCGAAACUGCAUUCGAUACUGCUGUGCUUGAGGACUGGAGAGGAGACUGGAAUUUACGGUGUAGCAGUGAAAUGCGUAGAUAUCGUAAGGAAGACCAGUGGCGAAGGCGGGUCUCUGGACAGUUCCUGACGCUGAGGCACGAAGGUCAGGGGAGCAAACGGG
This 253-nucleotide ribosomal RNA is filed under the name uncultured bacterium. Its description in RNAcentral is "partial 16S ribosomal RNA". It matches the Rfam family "Bacterial small subunit ribosomal RNA", at positions 524 to 776 of the family's 1533-position model. The record is from RNAcentral.